CAUGUGGGUCAAAUCUGUUCAAAACAUUAUGACAGAAGUACAUUCACUGUGUUUAAAAUGAUGUUUUUUUUCUAGAGAAACAAAUGUGCAGGCACAUGAAAUUAUUGCACAUCUGGCACUGGCAAUUGACCACAAGAAGGUCAGCAGGUUCAAUAUAUGUCGGUCAGAGGUGUGGGAUCGAGCUGUUCGUGGAUUUCAACGCAUGUAUUCUAACAUGAACGACAUGUUCAUCAAGUUUAAUGAUGAUGCUGGCUGCUUUGAAAAAGGGUUGGAUGCAGGUGGCCCAAGAUGUGAAUUCCUCACACUUCUCAUGAGCCAUCUGAGAAAUCUCCCCAUCUUCGAUGGACUCCCAGAAAACAGUUAUCAAUCCAAGAGCUGCCAGGGAAGAUGAGUAUUUUUUAGCAGGAAAGAUGAUGCUGUAUCCAUUGUACAUGGAGGACCAACACCACAUUUUCUCUCAAAGAACCUGGUCAACCACAUGAUGGGGAAUCCAAGUUUCAGCGCCACUGUAGAAGAUGCGAAAGAUGAGAAGAUGGGGAAAGUUCUACAUCAGGUCCUGGAAGCAGAAUCAGAGGAAUUUCUGCAAAAUGCAAUUUUGCAAAACCGUACCAUGUUCCAAACUGCUGGAUGCCUCACAGGUGUGAAGACAUGUGAGAAGCAAGCUUUUGUGGAGGAGUAUCUUAAAUGGUACAUCACUGAUAGAAAGCACAGUGCCAUUCAACAAUUCAAAGAUGGACCGGCAAGUCUUGGUUUCCUCCAUGCAUUGCAGCAGCAUUCCAGUGUUCUGUCCCCAGUCUUAUGCUUCUCUGCCAAGGCCCUGACUGCUUCAGACUUGGAGACCAUGUUCAAA
Long non-coding RNA from Girardinichthys multiradiatus, 850 nucleotides. RefSeq lists it as uncharacterized. NCBI's taxonomy places the organism in Eukaryota, Metazoa, Chordata, Actinopteri, Cyprinodontiformes, Goodeidae. The transcript has 4 exons. The record is from RefSeq and is a predicted model, not a curated record.